This 264-nucleotide long non-coding RNA is filed under the name Malus domestica (apple). Its description in RNAcentral is "long non-coding RNA (MDOM_LNC020813)". Lineage: Eukaryota; Viridiplantae; Streptophyta; Magnoliopsida; Rosales; Rosaceae. The record is from RNAcentral.
UGAGUUGACCCUUCAAGAUGGUCCUUCACACAAAGCAGGCCUGAGCGACUUCCUUUGAUGGGCUUGCCGCAGAUUGGGCUUGGUGUUGCUUUAUGGUCCCAUGACUUACAUCCCAAUGACUCUGAAACUGCAAGAAACUAUCCAUUAUACUUCGUCUAUCCGAUUCAGCAAGGUCUGGUACCAAUGCCCAGCCAAGAAGCAGAUCAAUAAUGUCAAGAAAAUGAGGCUGGAAGCAUCUAGAAAAUUUUAACGAAAUCAAAGUCA